UACAGGGGGUGCAAACGUUGCUCGGAAUUAUUGGGCGUAAAGCGCGCGUAGGCGGCUACUUAAGUCGGAUGUGAAAGCCCUUGGCUCAACUGAGGAAGUGCACCCGAAACUGAGUGGCUAGAGUACGAAAGAGGGUCGCGGAAUUCCCGGUGUAGAGGUGAAAUUCGUAGAUAUCGGGAGGAACACCGGUGGCGAAGGCGGCGACCUGGGUCGAUACUGACGCUGAGGCGCGAAAGCGUGGGGAGCGAACAGG
This 253-nucleotide ribosomal RNA is filed under the name uncultured bacterium. Its description in RNAcentral is "partial 16S ribosomal RNA". It matches the Rfam family "Bacterial small subunit ribosomal RNA", at positions 524 to 776 of the family's 1533-position model. The record is from RNAcentral.